CUGAAGGACCCCCAAACAAUGGUGAAAGUGGUGGGAAAUUCAACUGAGAUGAAAUAACAUUGACAUUACUGAGGAAGUUUGGAAUGAACCGCCACAUCCUCACACGGUUCUACACCUGCACUGUGGAGAGCAUCCUGACUGGCUGCAUCUCCGCCUGGUACGGCAAUAGCACAGCCCACAACCGCAAAGCACUGCAAAGGGUGGUGCGAACUGCCAGACACAUCAUCGGAGGUGAGCUUCCCUCCCUCCAGGAAAUAUAUACAAGGCGGUGUGUGAAAAAAGCUCGGAGGAUCAUCAGAGACUCCAGCCACCCGAGCCAUGGGCUGUUCUCACUGCUACCAUCAGGUAGGCGGUAUCGCAGCUUCAGCACCCGCACCAGCCGACUCCAUGAUAGCUUCUUCCCCCAAGCAAUCAGACUUCUGAACUCUUGAUCUCCCACGAUCAAAAUACAUCAGCACUGCACUUUAUUACCCUUACUCUUAUAUCUCAUACCGGACUGUCAUAAAUUAUAUUAUUAUUAUUAUAUUAUGUUCUCUCUUAACAACUGACUAUCAACCGACAGCCUGAAUGUCAAUACAGUACAAUACUGUACAUUCUAUAUAUAUAUAUACACACACACUUUUUUUUUUUUUGUUUAUAUAUAUAUUUUUUUUUAAUUUUUAUUGAAUGUGUAUCUAUAUAGUAAAAAAAAAAAAAAACAGCGUAUUGUAUACUGUACAGUGUAUGUUAUUAUUUGUAUACUGUUGAGUGUAAUUAUGUGUAUAUCAGAUGUUUAAAUUGUGUUGUGUUAAUUUGAUGUUAUUGUAAAUUGGUAUAUGUCUCAUCACUGUCACGACUGCUAUGUUGAUCGGAACUGCACCCAAGAAUUUCACACACCAUUGCACUUGUGUAUAUGGCUGUGUGACAAUAAAGUGAUUUGAUUUGAUUUGAUUUGACAUUAACCUGACUUUUAGUAUAAAAAGAAUAUCGUUUAAAUUAUUUGAAAGUUACGAAGCAAGGUAGCUUGCAAUUCAUCAGUGUUAGCAGGCAAGAUCAAGUUAGCUAAAAUUACACAGAUCAAUCCUCAUGGCACUAUAUUUCACAUGCUUUGCAGUUAUAAUAAGUCCAAUAAGAAGAAAGCCAAUUCAGGGUCAGUUUUGAUCCCUAAAACCGAACGAAGGUCCAUCCAGGAAUCAAAUGCCAUGUUCAUUCUAGUUUUCGCUUGACCACGAUCACAUUCCAGCUUAGCCAGACAGGAUUCAGUAGAUAAAUGUUAUUUUUAUUUUUUUGGCUUACUCGGAGUUUGUGUAGGAGUCAGUGUUGUACUGUGA
Myxocyprinus asiaticus (Chinese sucker) is the source of this 1310-nucleotide long non-coding RNA. RefSeq lists it as uncharacterized. The record is from RefSeq and is a predicted model, not a curated record. The transcript has 3 exons. Lineage: Eukaryota; Metazoa; Chordata; Actinopteri; Cypriniformes; Catostomidae.